AUGAACGCUGGCGGCGUGCCUAAUACAUGCCAGUCGCGCGAACAGACGAGGAGCUUGCUUCUCUGACGUUAGCGGCGGACGGGUGAGUAACACGUGGAUAACCUACCUAUAAGACUGGGAUAACUUCGGGAAACCGGAGCUAAUACCGGAUAAUAUAUUGAACCGCAUGGUUCAAUAGUGAAAGACGGUUUUGCUGUCACUUAUAGAUGGAUCCGCGCCGCAUUAGCUAGUUGGUAAGGUAACGGCUUACCAAGGCAACGAUGCGUAGCCGACCUGAGAGGGUGAUCGGCCACACUGGAACUGAGACACGGUCCAGACUCCUACGGGAGGCAGCAGUAGGGAAUCUUCCGCAAUGGGCGAAAGCCUGACGGAGCAACGCCGCGUGAGUGAUGAAGGUCUUCGGAUCGUAAAACUCUGUUAUUAGGGAAGAACAAAUGUGUAAGUAACUAUGCACGUCUUGACGGUACCUAAUCAGAAAGCCACGGCUAACUACGUG
This 496-nucleotide ribosomal RNA is filed under the name uncultured bacterium. Its description in RNAcentral is "partial 16S ribosomal RNA". It matches the Rfam family "Bacterial small subunit ribosomal RNA", at positions 29 to 507 of the family's 1533-position model. The record is from RNAcentral.